GAUGAACGCUGGCGGCGUGCCUAAUACAUGCAAGUCGAGCGAACAGAUGAGGAGCUUGCUCCUCUGACGUUAGCGGCGGACGGGUGAGUAACACGUGGAUAACCUACCUAUAAGACUGGGAUAACUUCGGGAAACCGGAGCUAAUACCGGAUAAUAUAUUGAACCGCAUGGUUCAAUAGUGAAAGACGGUUUUGCUGUCACUUAUAGAUGGAUCCGCGCCGCAUUAGCUAGUUGGUAAGGUAACGGCUUACCAAGGCAACGAUGCGUAGCCGACCUGAGAGGGUGAUCGGCCACACUGGAACUGAGACACGGUCCAGACUCCUACGGGAGGCAGCAGUAGGGAAUCUUACGCAAUGGGCGAAAGCCUGACGGAGCAACGCCGCGUGAGUGAUGAAGGUCUUCGGAUCGUAAAACUCUGUUAUUAGGGAAGAACAAAUGUGUAAGUAACUAUGCACGUCUUGACGGUACCUAAUCAGAAAGCCACGGCUAACUACGUG
Molecule: ribosomal RNA, 497 nt
Filed under: uncultured bacterium
Lineage: Bacteria
Description: partial 16S ribosomal RNA
Rfam family: Bacterial small subunit ribosomal RNA
Source: RNAcentral